RNAcentral lists this microRNA precursor (81 nucleotides) under Trichobilharzia regenti. Its description in RNAcentral is "mir-3492 microRNA precursor family". It matches the Rfam family "mir-3492 microRNA precursor family". Lineage: Eukaryota; Metazoa; Platyhelminthes; Trematoda; Strigeidida; Schistosomatidae. The record is from Rfam by way of RNAcentral.
AGCCUCCUGUAUCCGUGUUGAGAUUUCGUCAGCGAUCAGUCCGUUGUGGCUGAUGCGACUUCCCACAAAAUAAAUGAAGUG